Molecule: long non-coding RNA, 1279 nt
Organism: Hippocampus zosterae (dwarf seahorse)
Lineage: Eukaryota; Metazoa; Chordata; Actinopteri; Syngnathiformes; Syngnathidae
Exons: 2
Source: RefSeq, a predicted model, not a curated record
UUGAUGUGUUGAUCGAAAGAGAGGUUAUUAUCAAAAAGGACCCCGAGGUUGCGACAGUGAGAGGAGGGGGACAGGGUGAAGUUAUCUAUAGUGAGGGUAAAGUUGGUGGUUGUUUGGGUGAGGGACCGAGGACCGAUUAUAAGCAGUUGAGAUUUAGUACAGUUAAGAGUGAGAAAGUUUGUUUGCAACCAGGAUUUGACAUCUGAGAGACAGUUAGACAGGGUGGAGUGGGUUGUUGGGGUAAAUGAUUUGGUGGCUAUGUACAAUUGGACAUCAUCAGCGUAGCAGAGGGUAAAAGAUAGAGAAUGAAGAGAAGAGGACCGAGCACAGAACCCUGGGGGACACCUUGGGACAGUGGGGCAGUGUAGGAAGAGCAGUUGUUUAUGUGUAUGAAUUGUUUCCUGUCUGUGAGAUAAGAGUGUGGCCAGGUAAGGACUUUGUCGGUGAUGUUUAGGUAUUGUAGGCGAGAGAGUAGGAUGGAAUGGUUGAUGAUGUCAAAGGCAGCUGUAAGGUCAAGAAGGAUGAGGAUGGAGAGUAGGCCGGAGUCAGAGGCAAGGAGGAGGUCAUUGGUGAUUUUAAGGAGGGCUGUUUCAGUGCUGUGUUGUGUGCGGAAUCCAGAUUGAAAUUGUUCAAAAAGCUGGUCGUUGUUUAGGUAGGUUUUAAUUUGAGAUGUGACGGCACGUUCUAUGACUUUGGACAGAAAGGGAAGGUUGGAGAUGGGUCGAAAGUUGCUCAUGAUGUCAGGGUUGAGUCCGGGUUUUUUGAUGAUGGGGGUUACGGCAGCCAGUUUGAGUAAGGAGGGGACAUAGGCAGAGUUGAGGGAGGAGUUGACAAUGUUCAUGACGAGGUGGGAGAUGGUGGGAAAGCAGUGCUUGACGAAGGAAGAUGGGAUGGGAUCCAGUGUGCAGGUGGAGGAGUUCAUUGUUGAAAUGAUAUUGGUGAGUUCGGCUAUGGAGACAGGUGUGAAUUCAGAGAGAGGUGAAGUAGUUGGAGUGAUGGAUGCUGGUAGGAAGGGAGGGGGGACAGGUGAGGUGGUGAGUGAACUGUAGAGGAUGUCGAUUUUGGAUAGAAAGUGGGAUAGGAAUGAGUUGCAUUUGUCAACGGUGAAAGAGGUAGAAAUAUUGUCGCUGGGUUUGAGGAGUUUGUUGACGGUGGAGAAGAGACCCUUUUGGUUGUUGGAGUCGGUGUGGAUUAGGUUGGAGUAGUAGGUGGAAUGGCUGGAGUUGAGUGCGGUCUUGUAUAACUGAAGGUGAUCAGUGUAGGCGAGGAGAUGAACAGU